This 1229-nucleotide long non-coding RNA is filed under the name Sinocyclocheilus anshuiensis. RNAcentral describes it as "lncRNA (ENSSANG00000026120.1)". Lineage: Eukaryota; Metazoa; Chordata; Actinopteri; Cypriniformes; Cyprinidae. The record is from RNAcentral.
GCAUCAAUGGCAUCUUCGAGAACAACUGAGGCUUCUACAGAAAAUGCACCUUCAACAACAGCUACAGGUCAAACAGCAGUGUCAUCUUUGAUGACAACAGAAACUGAAGCUUCCACAACCAUAGAUGUGACCCCCAAAAUCAUGCCUGUGCUCUCAGCAACUACAGAUACUGCUGCACCAACAACAACACCCUCUUCAACAACAAUGUAUGAAUAUUCUACAACUACAGCUGAAACCCCUACAACCACACUCAUAUCCUCGCCAAGUAUAACUGCACCUUCAACAACAGCAAAUGCUGCUCCAACUGCAACAGCACAAUCUUCAACAACUGCAGCUGUGAACCCCACAACCAUGCCUGUAUUCUCUGCACCUCCAGCAACAGAAAAUGUUGCUCCAACAACAACUCCACUGUCUUUGAAAACUGAAGCUUCUACUACCACAGAUGUGAACCCCCAAACCACUUUUAUAUCCUCAGCAACUGCACCUACAACAACAAUAAAUGCUGCAACAGCACAAUCUUGGACUACUGAAGGUUAUACAACAACAGCUGUGAGCUCUACAACCACUCAUAUAUCUUCAGAAUCUACAACAACAGCAAAAGCUGCUCCAACAACACCAUUGUCAACAACAAAUGAAGCUUUAUCCACCACAGCAGUGAACCCCACAACCACGUCUGUAUUCUCAGUACCUACAGUAACAGAAAAUGCUGCUCCAACAGAGACACCAUCUUCAACAAUAGAAAAUGAAACUUAUACAACCAUAGCUGUGACCUCCACAACCACACUCAUAUCCUCACCAACUACAACUGCACCUUCUACAGCAACAAAUGCUGCUCCAACUGCAACAGCACAAUCUUCAACAACUGAAGCUUCAGCAACCGCAGCUGUGAAUCCCACAACCAUGCCUGUAUUCUCUGCACCUCCAGCAACAGAAAAUGUUGCUCCAACAACUCCACUGUCUUUGACAACUGAAGCUUCUACUAGCACAGCUGUGAACCCCACAACCACUCUUAUAUCCUCAGCAACUGCACCUACAACAACUACAAAUGCUGCUCCAACACCAUUUUCAACCACUGAAGGUUAUACAACUACAGCUGUGAGCCCCACAGCCACUCUUAUAUCCUCUCUGACUACAACUGCACUCUCAACAGCAACAAAUGCUGCUCCAACUGCAACAACACAAUCUUCGACAACUGAGGCUUCUACUACCCAAUCUGUGAACCCCACAAC